RNAcentral lists this transfer RNA (85 nucleotides) under Clostridiales bacterium. RNAcentral's name for it is "tRNA-Ser". It matches the Rfam family "tRNA". Rfam says of the family: Transfer RNA (tRNA) molecules are approximately 80 nucleotides in length. Their secondary structure includes four short double-helical elements and three loops (D, anti-codon, and T loops). Lineage: Bacteria; Bacillati; Bacillota; Clostridia; Eubacteriales. The record is from RNAcentral.
GGAAGGUUGGCUGAGCGGUCUAUAGCACUUGUCUUGAAAACAAGCGUACCGAAAGGUACCAGGAGUUCGAAUCUCUUACCUUCCG